GACGAACGCUGGCGGCGUGCUUAACACAUGCAAGUCGAACGGAAAGGCCCUGCUUUUGUGGGGUGCUCGAGUGGCGAACGGGUGAGUAACACGUGAGUAACCUGCCCUUGACUUUGGGAUAACUUCAGGAAACUGGGGCUAAUACCGGAUAGGAGCUCCUGCUGCAUGGUGGGGGUUGGAAAGUUUCGGCGGUUGGGGAUGGACUCGCGGCUUAUCAGCUUGUUGGUGGGGUAGUGGCUUACCAAGGCUUUGACGGGUAGCCGGCCUGAGUGGGUGACCGGCAACAUUGGGACUGAGAUACGGCCCAGACUCCUACGGGAGGCAGCAGUGGGGAAUAUUGCACAAUGGGCGGAAGCCUGAUGCAGCAACGCCGCGUGCGGGAUGACGGCCUUCGGGUUGUAACCCGCUUUCGCCUGUGACGAAGCGUGAGUGACGGUAAUGGGUAAAGAAGCACCGGCUAACUACGUG
RNAcentral lists this ribosomal RNA (468 nucleotides) under uncultured bacterium. RNAcentral's name for it is "partial 16S ribosomal RNA". It matches the Rfam family "Bacterial small subunit ribosomal RNA", at positions 28 to 507 of the family's 1533-position model. The record is from RNAcentral.